GUGAGGGGCAGGUGAGGGACCCAUGGGUGCCAUGGGACAGGUGAGGGUCCCGUGGGGCAGGUGAGGGUCCCGUGGCACAGGUGAGGGUCCCGUGGGUGCCAAGGACAGGUGAGGGGCAGGUGAGGGUCCCGUGGGGCAGGUGAGGGUCCCGUGGGUGCCGUGGGACAGGUGAGGGGCAGGUGAGGGUCCCGUGGCACAGGUGAGGGUCCCGUGGGUGCCAGGGACAGGUGAGGUGCAGGUGAGGGUCCCAUGGCACAGGUGAGGGUCCCGUGGCACAGGUGAGGGUCCCGUGGGUGCCAGGGACAGGUGAGGCACAGGUGAGGGUCCCGUGGGUGCCAGGGACAGGUGAGGUGCAGGUGAGGGUCCCGUGGGCAGGUGAGGGUCCCGUGGUGCAGGUGAGGGUCCCGUGGGUGCCAGGGACAGGUGAGGCGCAGGUGAGGGUCCUGUGGUGCAGGUGAGGGUCCCAUGGGUGCCAGGGACAGGUGAGGCACAGGUGAGGGUCCCGUGGUGCAGGUGAGGGUCCCGUGGGUGCCAGGGACAGGUGAGGCACAGGUGAGGGUCCCGUGGCACAGGUGAGGGUCCCGUGGGUGCCAGGGACAGGUGAGGCACAGGUGAGGGUCCCGUGGUGCAGGUGAGGGUCCCAUGGGUGCCAUGGGGCAGGUGAGGCACAGGUGAGGGUCCCGUGGUGCAGGUGAGGGUCCCAUGGGUGCCAGGGACAGGUGAGGCACAGGUGAGGGUCCCGUGGUGCAGGUGAGGGUCCCGUGGUGCAGGUGAGGGUCCCGUGGGUGCCAAGGACAGGUGAGGCUCCCAGGUGUCCCCUGUGUCCCAUGGGUGUGACCCUUUCCCACGUGGGUGGGGGUGGGGCAGGUGAGGGCGUGGCCCCGCCCCCCACCCACCUGUGGGCGUGUCCCUGCCCCACCCGUGGGACCCUGGGCCGGGACUUUGGGGGGGGCUCAGGGGGUUCCUCGUGGUCAUUCUUGGGGUCUCCAUGUCCCUCUGGGGUGGCCGUGGUCACUCCUGGGGGUCUGCAGGGUCUUUGGGGUGUCCCUGGCCCUUCUUGGGGUCCCAGUGGUCCUUGGGGGUCUCCGUGGUCAAUUUUGGAGUCCCCGUGGACCUUCUUGGGCUCUCUGUGGUCUUGGAGGCUCUCCAUGGCCAAGUCUGGGGUCACUCUGGUCAUUUUCGGGUCUCCAUGGUCCUGUGGGGUGGCCGUGGUCAUUCCUGGCGUCUGCAGGGUCUUUGGGGUUUCCAGGGUCCUUCUUGGGGUCACUGUGGUCAUUUUUGGGGUCUCCGUGGUCUUUGAGGGUCUCCACGGUCAUUGUUGGGGUCUCCAUGGUCCUAGCUGGGGUCUCCAUCAUCACUCUUGGGGUCUCUGUGGCUUUUGGGGGUCUCUGUGGCCAUUGUUGGUGUCCUGAUGACCAUUGUGGAGUGUCCGUGGUGGGGCAGUGUCCGUGGUGUGUCCAUGGUGUGUCCGUGGUGGGGGCAGUGUCCAGGGUGUGUCCAUGGUGUGUCCAUGGUGUGUCCAUGGUGUGUCCGUGGUGGGGCAGUGUCCAGGGUGUGUCCAUGGUGUGUCCAUGGUGUGUCCAUGGUGGGGCAGUGUGUCCAGGGUGUGUCCACGAUGCGUCCGUGUGUCCAUAGUGGGUGGGUCCACGUCCAUGGUGUGUCCGUGGUGUGUCCAUGGCGUGUCCGUGCUGGGUCAGUGUCCAUGGGUUCAUGGUGUGUCCAUGGUGUGUCCAGGAUGGGUCAGUGAUGGGUCAGUGGUGGGUCCAUGGUGUGUCCAUGGUGUGUCCAGGAUGGGUCAGUGGUGGGUCCAUGGUGUG
Corvus hawaiiensis (hawaiian crow) is the source of this 1817-nucleotide long non-coding RNA. RefSeq lists it as uncharacterized. NCBI's taxonomy places the organism in Eukaryota, Metazoa, Chordata, Aves, Passeriformes, Corvidae. The record is from RefSeq and is a predicted model, not a curated record. The transcript has 3 exons.